AACGAACGCUGGCGGCGUGCCUAACACAUGCAAGUCGAGCGCGAAAGGAGCAAUCCGAGUAGAGCGGCGCACGGGUGCGUAACACGUGGGUAAUCUGCCCUUGAGUUCGGGAUAACCAUUCGAAAGUUUGGCUAAUACCGGAUAAGCUUACGGGACCUUCGGGUCUUGUGAGAAAAGUAAGCCCUCUAUUUAUAAGGUUACACUCAUGGAUGAGCCCGCGGCCCAUCAGCUCGUUGGCGGGUAACGGCCCACCAAGGCAACGACGGGUAGCUGGUCUGAGAGGACGAUCAGCCACACUGGAACUGAGACACGGUCCAGACUCCUACGGGAGGCAGCAGUGGGGAAUUUUCCACAAUGGGCGAAAGCCUGAUGGAGCAACGCCGCG
This 385-nucleotide ribosomal RNA is filed under the name uncultured bacterium. Its description in RNAcentral is "bacterial SSU rRNA". It matches the Rfam family "Bacterial small subunit ribosomal RNA", at positions 29 to 401 of the family's 1533-position model. The record is from RNAcentral.